This 222-nucleotide unclassified non-coding RNA is filed under the name plant metagenome. Its description in RNAcentral is "partial contains small subunit ribosomal RNA, internal transcribed spacer 1, and 5.8S ribosomal RNA". The record is from RNAcentral.
UCUCCGUUGGUGAACCAGCGGAGGGAUCAUUACCGAGUUAUCAACUCCCAAACCCCUGUGAACAUACCAACGUUGUUUCGGCGGGACCGCCCCGGCGCCCUCGGCGUCCCGGAACCAGGCGCCCGCCGGAGGACCCAAACUCUUGUUUAAACCAUAGUGGCAUAUUCUGAGUCUCACAAGAAAAAUGAAUCAAAACUUUCAACAACGGAUCUCUUGGCUCUG